Molecule: ribosomal RNA, 470 nt
Filed under: uncultured bacterium
Lineage: Bacteria
Description: bacterial SSU rRNA
Rfam family: Bacterial small subunit ribosomal RNA
Source: RNAcentral
AAAACAUGGACGAACGCUGGCGGCGUGCCUCAUACAUGCAAGUCGAGCGGAUGCAGCAAUGCAUUAGCGGCGGACGGGUGAGUAACACGUGGGCAACCUGGCCUUAAGAGGGGGAUAACGUUCCGAAAGGGACGCUAAUACCGCGUAAAUCAGCGAAAUCGCAUGAUUUUGUUGGAAAAGGAGAAAUCCGCUUAAGGAUGGGCCCGCGGCCUAUUAGCUAGUUGGUAGGGUAACGGCCUACCAAGGCGACGAUAGGUAGCCGACCUGAGAGGGUGAACGGCCACACUGGAACUGAGAAACGGUCCAGACUCCUACGGGAGGCAGCAGUAGGGAAUAUUCCGCAAUGGGCGAAAGCCUGACGGAGCAACGCCGCGUGAGUGAAGAAGGUCUUCGGAUCGUAAAGCUCUGUCAACAGGGACGAAACAAGACGGUACCUGAGAAGGAAGCCACGGCAAACUACGUGCCAGCAG